AAUCAACGCUGGCGGCGUGCCUCAGACAUGCAAGUCGAACGCGAAAGAGGGCUUCGGCCCUUGAGUAGAGUGGCGCACGGGUGAGUAACACGUGGGUAAUUUACCUUUGGGUGGGGAAUAACAGUCGGAAACGGCUGCUAAUACCGCAUAAUGCAGCGGCUCCACAUGGAGACAGUUGUUAAAGCGGGGGAGCGAGCAAUCGCCCUCGCGCCUGAAGAGAAGCCCGCGGCAGAUUAGCUAGUUGGUGAGGUAAUGGCUCACCAAGGCUUCGAUCUGUAGCCGGCCUGAGAGGGCGGUCGGCCACACUGACACUGAAUAACGGGUCAGACUCCUACGGGAGGC
Molecule: ribosomal RNA, 342 nt
Filed under: uncultured bacterium
Lineage: Bacteria
Description: bacterial SSU rRNA
Rfam family: Bacterial small subunit ribosomal RNA
Source: RNAcentral